This 253-nucleotide ribosomal RNA is filed under the name uncultured bacterium. Its description in RNAcentral is "partial 16S ribosomal RNA". It matches the Rfam family "Bacterial small subunit ribosomal RNA", at positions 524 to 776 of the family's 1533-position model. The record is from RNAcentral.
UCCCUAGGUCUCAAUCUGUGUUCGGAUUCAUUGGGCGUAAAGGGUGCGUAGGUGGUUGGGUAAGUCAAAUGUGAAAUCCCGGAGCUCAACUCCGGAACUGCAUUCGAUACUGCCCGGCUCGAGGAUUGGAGAGGAGACUGGAAUUCACGGUGUAGCAGUGAAAUGCGUAGAGAUCGUGAGGAACACCCGUGGCGAAGGCGGGUCUCUGGACAAUUCCUGACACUGAGGCACGAAGGCCAGGGGAGCAAACGGG